GCUCACAAGAAUCUCGCCUUGGAGUUAUCUCCCCCUCCCCGCUCUUUAUGGCUCUGCAGAAAGGGAUUCAGCGAUAGAGCCCUGCUGGGUAUGUAACAAGCUCGCUCUGUUUGACAGUUGCAAAUAUUUUUCUCCAACAUUGCACAGGUCCGUGUGCUGCUCGGGCUGCUCUCGCCAGCAUUUCCACCACCCAGCACUGGGAAGCUCGAAUUGGUGUGGGGCAGAUGGAAACCGAAAUCUUGCCAAGCACUGCAUCCACUCCCUGACUUAUCCCUUGCUCACGACUCCCCUAAGCUCUCCUCCAGGUAAUACAAAUCCUGCCCUUCUGCAAUGCUCUCCAGUCCAAUGCUGGGUUUUUUGAAGGGGUUGUGUGCUCCACUUCCAGCAGGAGUCCAGCACUUCUCUCCUUGCAGAAAUCCCCUUUUAAAGCACAUCAUCAGUACUCUUCUGCAGCUGUUUUUCUUAGUAGUCUAAAUAAAGCUUUCAAGUUACGACUCCUUGAUGUGAAGCCAGA
Long non-coding RNA from Zonotrichia leucophrys gambelii, 514 nucleotides. RefSeq lists it as uncharacterized. The transcript has 2 exons. The record is from RefSeq and is a predicted model, not a curated record. Lineage: Eukaryota; Metazoa; Chordata; Aves; Passeriformes; Passerellidae.